RNAcentral lists this ribosomal RNA (250 nucleotides) under uncultured bacterium. RNAcentral's name for it is "partial 16S ribosomal RNA". It matches the Rfam family "Bacterial small subunit ribosomal RNA", at positions 524 to 773 of the family's 1533-position model. The record is from RNAcentral.
UACGGAGGAUGCGAGCGUUAUCCGGAUUUAUUGGGUUUAAAGGGUGCGUAGGUGGUUUCUUAAGUCAGUGGUGAAAGUUUGUCGCUCAACGAUAAAAUUGCCAUUGAAACUGGGGAACUUGAGUAUGUUUGAGGUAGGCGGAAUGCGUAGUGUAGCGGUGAAAUGCAUAGAUAUUACGCAGAACUCCAAUUGCGAAGGCAGCUUACUAAACCAUAACUGACACUGAUGCACGAAAGCGUGGGUAUCAAAC